Molecule: transfer RNA, 85 nt
Filed under: Burkholderiaceae bacterium
Lineage: Bacteria; Pseudomonadati; Pseudomonadota; Betaproteobacteria; Burkholderiales; Burkholderiaceae
Description: tRNA-Leu
Rfam family: tRNA
About the family: Transfer RNA (tRNA) molecules are approximately 80 nucleotides in length.
Source: RNAcentral
GCGGAUGUGGUGAAAUUGGUAUACACAGCAGACUCAAAAUCUGCCGCCGAAAGGUAUGUGGGUUCAAGUCCCACCAUCCGCACCA